AUUGAACGCUGGCGGCAGGCCUAACACAUGCAAGUCGAGCGGUAGCACAGAGAGCUUGCUCUCGGGUGACGAGCGGCGGACGGGUGAGUAAUGUCUGGGAAACUGCCUGAUGGAGGGGGAUAACUACUGGAAACGGUAGCUAAUACCGCAUAACGUCGCAAGACCAAAGUGGGGGACCUUCGGGCCUCAUGCCAUCAGAUGUGCCCAGAUGGGAUUAGCUAGUAGGUGGGGUAAUGGCUCACCUAGGCGACGAUCCCUAGCUGGUCUGAGAGGAUGACCAGCCACACUGGAACUGAGACACGGUCCAGACUCCUACGGGAGGCAGCAGUGGGGAAUAUUGCACAAUGGGCGCAAGCCUGAUGCAGCCAUGCCGCGUGUGUGAAGAAGGCCUUCGGGUUGUAAAGCACUUUCAGCGGGGAGGAAGGCGUUAAGGUUAAUAACCUUGGCGAUUGACGUUACCCGCAGAAGAAGCACCGGCUAACUCCGUGCCAGCAGCCGCGGUAAUACGGAGGGUGCAAGCGUUAAUCGGAAUUACUGGGCGUAAAGCGCACGCAGGCGGUCUGUCAAGUCGGAUGUGAAAUCCCCGGGCUCAACCUGGGAACUGCAUUCGAAACUGGCAGGCUAGAGUCUUGUAGAGGGGGGUAGAAUUCCAGGUGUAGCGGUGAAAUGCGUAGAGAUCUGGAGGAAUACCGGUGGCGAAGGCGGCCCCCUGGACAAAGACUGACGCUCAGGUGCGAAAGCGUGGGGAGCAAACAGGAUUAGAUACCCUGGUAGUCCACGCCGUAAACGAUGUCGAUUUGGAGGUUGUGCCCUUGAGGCGUGGCUUCCGGAGCUAACGCGUUAAAUCGACCGCCUGGGGAGUACGGCCGCAAGGUUAAAACUCAAAUGAAUUGACGGGGGCCCGCACAAGCGGUGGAGCAUGUGGUUUAAUUCGAUGCAACGCGAAGAACCUUACCUGGUCCUGACAUCCACAGAACUUUCCAGAGAUGGAUUGGUGCCUUCGGGAACUGUGAGACAGGUGCUGCAUGGCUGUCGUCAGCUCGUGUUGUGAAAUGUUGGGUUAAGUCCCGCAACGAGCGCAACCCUUAUCCUUUGUUGCCAGCGGUUCGGCCGGGAACUCAAAGGAGACUGCCAGUGAUAAACUGGAGGAAGGUGGGGAUGACGUCAAGUCAUCAUGGCCCUUACGACCAGGGCUACACACGUGCUACAAUGGCAUAUACAAAGAGAAGCGACCUCGCGAGAGCAAGCGGACCUCAUAAAGUAUGUCGUAGUCCGGAUUGGAGUCUGCAACUCGACUCCAUGAAGUCGGAAUCGCUAGUAAUCGUAGAUCAGAAUGCUACGGUGAAUACGUUCCCGGGCCUUGUACACACCGCCCGUCACACCAUGGGAGUGGGUUGCAAAAGAAGUAGGUAGCUUAACCUUCGGGAGGGCGCUUACCACUUUGUGAUUCAUGACUGGGGUGA
RNAcentral lists this ribosomal RNA (1463 nucleotides) under uncultured Klebsiella sp. Its description in RNAcentral is "bacterial SSU rRNA". It matches the Rfam family "Bacterial small subunit ribosomal RNA". The record is from RNAcentral. Lineage: Bacteria; Pseudomonadati; Pseudomonadota; Gammaproteobacteria; Enterobacterales; Enterobacteriaceae.